GGAAUCUUCCACAAUGGGCGAAAGCCUGAUGGAGCAAUGCCGCGUGAGUGAUGAAGGUUUUCGGAUCGUAAAGCUCUGUUGCCAGGGAAGAACGUCCGGGUGAGUAACUGCACCCGGAGUGACGGUACCUGAGAAGAAAGCCCCGGCUAACUACGUGCCAGCAGCCGCGGUAAUACGUAGGGGGCAAGCGUUGUCCGGAAUUAUUGGGCGUAAAGCGCGUGCAGGCGGCGGAUUAAGUCGGAUGUUUAAGAUCGGGGCUCAACCCCGAUUCGCAUCCGAAACUGGCCCGCUUGAGUGUAGGAGAGGAAAGUGGAAUUCCACGUGUAGCGGUGAAAUGCGUAGAGAUGUGGAGGAACACCAGUGGCGAAGGCGACUUUCUGGCCUAUAACUGACGCUGAGGCGCGAAAGCGUGGGGAGCAAACAGGAUUAGAUACCCUUG
RNAcentral lists this ribosomal RNA (439 nucleotides) under uncultured Saccharibacillus sp. RNAcentral's name for it is "bacterial SSU rRNA". It matches the Rfam family "Bacterial small subunit ribosomal RNA", at positions 358 to 790 of the family's 1533-position model. The record is from RNAcentral. Lineage: Bacteria; Bacillati; Bacillota; Bacilli; Caryophanales; Paenibacillaceae.